ACAGAAGACACAGACAUCCUCCUCAUCACAAACAUGACUUUCAUCUUCAUCUGGACUCUCCUCUGCUGCUGCUUCACAGAGUCCAGAGGUCAGAUCACAGUGACUCAGCCUGGAUCAGUGACUUCUGCUCUGGGAGACUCCGUCACCAUCAGAUGUAAAACCAGUCAGGAUGUGUACAGUGAGGAUUUUUCUGAGUACAUAUUAGCCUGGUACCAACAGAAAGAUGGAAAGACACCAAAACUCCUUAUUUACUGGGCAAGCCAUAGAGAAUCUGGGAUUCCAGAUCGUUUUUCAGGCAGUGGAUCAAACUCUGACUUCACUCUGACCAUCAGUGGAGUUCAAGCUGAAGAUGCUGCAGUUUAUUACUGUCAGAGUUAUCACUACAUCAACAGUGAAACUGUGUUCACACAGUGA
This is a non-coding RNA of Amphiprion ocellaris (clown anemonefish), 414 nucleotides long. Lineage: Eukaryota; Metazoa; Chordata; Actinopteri; Pomacentridae. The record is from the annotation of a RefSeq genome assembly.